RNAcentral lists this ribosomal RNA (169 nucleotides) under uncultured rumen bacterium. RNAcentral's name for it is "partial 16S ribosomal RNA". It matches the Rfam family "Bacterial small subunit ribosomal RNA", at positions 338 to 524 of the family's 1533-position model. The record is from RNAcentral.
CCUACGGGAGGCAGCAGUAGGGAAUCUUUCACAAUGGGCGAAAGCCUGAUGGAGCAACGCCGCGUGCAGGAUGACGGCCUUCGGGUUGUAAACUGCUUUUAUUACCGAGAAAUAUGAUGGUAGGUAUUGAAUAAGGACCGGCUAACUACGUGCCAGCAGCCGCGGUCAU